AUGAUAACCUCUACCCUAGACAUCUUCCUACUGUGCUUUGUGUACCUGCAGGAUAUCUCUUCACUUCCAGACUCAAUGGUUGGAGAAAAGACUUUGAAGACGCUUUUCCUUACAAAGACCUUUAUCUUGCCAGCUAAGUGGACACCAUUUAAGUCUGGAUCAGCUUUUGCACACUGGAGAAUUAUUAUUUUGAAGCCACUCUGGGAUUUCUGCCUUGUCAUAAAAACUAUUGAGAGCAACUUUCCAAGAAGAACUGAAAAGCUCAAACCAACUAUUUAACUGGGACAGGAUCCAAGAACUCUACUAAAGAUUUUGAAAUCUACUUAUCCAGCCCCAAUAGCUUUGUUAACUUCCAGUCUUGUACCUCCAGCUGUCUAAUAGAUAUCUAUAACUGGAUUUUCUAUAGAGAUUUUAAACUCAACAUGUCCAAAACUGAACUCCUUAUAUUUCCCUUC
This 455-nucleotide long non-coding RNA is filed under the name Monodelphis domestica (gray short-tailed opossum). RNAcentral describes it as "lncRNA (ENSMODG00000039102.1)". Lineage: Eukaryota; Metazoa; Chordata; Mammalia; Didelphimorphia; Didelphidae. The record is from RNAcentral.